GAAAUGCGAUAAGUCAUGUGAAUUGCAGAAUUCAGUGAAUCAUCGAAACUUUGAACGCACGUUGCGCCUUUUAGUAUUCCGAAAGGCAUGCCUGUGUGAUUAUCCUGAAAUCUCAAUCCCCCCGGGUUUUCUGAACCCGAGGUGGACUUGGACAUGGGUGUCUGCCGUCUCGUACGGCUCGCCUUAAAUGACUCAGUGGCAUCUUCAGCAUCCGUGGCAGACGUAAUAAGUCUCGUCUCGUCCCUUGCUGUGAGGACCGCUCAUAACCUGCCAUCGCGCACCACUUUUGACUCUGACCUCAAAUCAGGUAGGACUACCCGCUGAACUUAA
RNAcentral lists this unclassified non-coding RNA (330 nucleotides) under uncultured Tremellaceae. RNAcentral describes it as "sequence contains ITS1". The stretch from base 1 to 105 matches the Rfam family "5.8S ribosomal RNA", at positions 50 to 154 of the family's 154-position model. The record is from RNAcentral. Lineage: Eukaryota; Fungi; Basidiomycota; Tremellomycetes; Tremellales; Tremellaceae.